UUCAAGAUUAGAUCUGCCGGGGCCUUGAGCCCCCUAAAGAGUCGUUCAAGACCAGGACGUUGAUAGGUCAGGUGUGGAAGCGCAGUAAUGCGUUAAGCUAACUGAUACUAAUUGCUCGUGAGGCUUGACCCUAUAACUUUG
Molecule: ribosomal RNA, 141 nt
Filed under: Polaromonas sp.
Lineage: Bacteria; Pseudomonadati; Pseudomonadota; Betaproteobacteria; Burkholderiales; Comamonadaceae
Description: partial 23S ribosomal RNA
Rfam family: Bacterial large subunit ribosomal RNA
Source: RNAcentral